GGCUCGUUAGCUCAGCGGUUAGAGCACCUAUUUAAAAUUGAGGAGGUCGAGGGUUCAAAUCCCUCACGAGCCG
Molecule: non-coding RNA, 73 nt
Organism: Aricia agestis (brown argus)
Lineage: Eukaryota; Metazoa; Arthropoda; Insecta; Lepidoptera; Lycaenidae
Source: the annotation of a RefSeq genome assembly